This 388-nucleotide ribosomal RNA is filed under the name uncultured Ehrlichia sp. RNAcentral describes it as "bacterial SSU rRNA". It matches the Rfam family "Bacterial small subunit ribosomal RNA", at positions 12 to 405 of the family's 1533-position model. Lineage: Bacteria; Pseudomonadati; Pseudomonadota; Alphaproteobacteria; Rickettsiales; Anaplasmataceae. The record is from RNAcentral.
UUUGAUCCUGGCUCAGAACGAACGCUGGCGGCAAGCCUAACACAUGCAAGUCGAACGGACAAUUGCUUAUAGCCUUUGGCUAUAAAUAAUUGUUAGUGGCAGACGGGUGAGUAAUGCGUAGGAAUCUACCUAGUAGUAUGGAAUAGCCAUUAGAAAUGAUGGGUAAUACUGUAUAAUCCCUGCGGGGGAAAGAUUUAUCGCUAUUAGAUGAGCCUACGUUAGAUUAGCUAGUUGGUAAGGUAAUGGCUUACCAAGGCUAUGAUCUAUAGCUGGUCUGAGAGGACGAUCAGCCACACUGGAACUGAGAUACGGUCCAGACUCCUACGGGAGGCAGCAGUGGGGAAUAUUGGACAAUGGGCGAAAGCCUGAUCCAACUAUGCCGCGUGAG